CGGAUUGAAGGCUGAAAUUCGCCUUCAUGAAGCUGGAAUUGCUAGUAAUGGCAGGUCAGCAUACUGCCGUGAAUACGUUCCCGGGCCUUGUACACACCGCCCGUCACACCAUGAGAGUCGGGAACACCCGAAGUCCGUAGCCUAACCGCAAGGGGGGCGCGGCCGAAGGUGGGUUCGAUAAUUGGGGUGAAGUCGUAACAAGGUAAC
Molecule: ribosomal RNA, 207 nt
Filed under: uncultured bacterium
Lineage: Bacteria
Description: partial 16S ribosomal RNA
Rfam family: Bacterial small subunit ribosomal RNA
Source: RNAcentral